Molecule: ribosomal RNA, 468 nt
Filed under: uncultured bacterium
Lineage: Bacteria
Description: partial 16S ribosomal RNA
Rfam family: Bacterial small subunit ribosomal RNA
Source: RNAcentral
GACGAACGCUGGCGGCGUGCUUAACACAUGCAAGUCGAACGGAAAGGCCCUGCUUUUGUGGGGUGCUCGAGUGGCGAACGGGUGAGUAACACGUGAGUAACCUGCCCUUGACUUUGGGAUAACUUCAGGAAACUGGGGCUAAUACCGGAUAGGAGCUCCUGCUGCAUGGUGGGGGUUGGAAAGUUUCGGCGGUUGGGGAUGGACUCGCGGCUUAUCAGCUUGUUGGUGGGGUAGUGGCUUACCAAGGCUUUGACGGGUAGCCGGCCUGAGAGUGUGACCGGCCACAUUGGGACUGAGAUACGGCCCAGACUCCUACGGGAGGCAGCAGUGGGGAAUAUUGCACAAUGGGCGGAAGCCUGAUGCAGCAACGCCGCGUGCGGGAUGACGGCCUUCGGGUUGUAAACCGCUUUCGCCUGUGACGAAGCGUGAGUGACGGUAAUGGGUAAAGAAGCACCGGCUAACUACGUG